AACGAACGCUGGCGGCAGGCUUAACACAUGCAAGUUGAACGGGAUUUGAUUGUAGCUUGCUAUAAUUAAUGAGAGUAGCGCACUGGUGAGUAACACGUGGGAACAUACCUUGAAGUGGGGGACAACAGUUGGAAACGACUGCUAAUACCGCAUAAUCCCUGAGGGGGAAAGAUUUAUUGCUUUAAGAUUGGCCCGCGGAAGAUUAGGUAGUUGGUGGGGUAAAGGCCUACCAAGCCGACGAUCUAUAGCUGGUCUGAGAGGACGAACAGCCACAUUGGAACUGAGACACGGUCCAGACUCCUACGGGAGGCAGCAGUGAGGAAUAUUGGGCAAUGGAGGCAACUCUGACCCAGCCAUGCCGCGUGAGUGAUGAAGGUUUUCGAAUUGUAAAGCUCUUUCGGAUGUGAAGAUGAUGACGGUAGCAUCUAAAGAAGCCCCGGCAAACUUCGUG
Molecule: ribosomal RNA, 451 nt
Filed under: uncultured bacterium
Lineage: Bacteria
Description: bacterial SSU rRNA
Rfam family: Bacterial small subunit ribosomal RNA
Source: RNAcentral